UUUUUCCUCGAUAAAUCAUUUAAAAAAAAACAGACGAAAAUGAACGAACCCUAAAUAUACUUUAAACAUCAUGAUUUGUCGCAGUAAACGAGGUGUCCUCAUAUCAAGCCAAAACGAAAAAUAUUUCCUUAAGAGGUCCAAAAACUGAUUUAUCUCUGGGCUGAUGUUUAUUAAGUGGAUGUAAUUGAAGAAUAAAUAUAAUGGCAGUUUUAAAAGCUAAACUAUAGAAGACAUUAACUGGAGAGAGAGAGAGACUUUGAUCAGCAUUGUUUAUAAAGAGCUUGAUACGGAAUGUAACUACUAGUAAAGCUAAAGAAAUACUUGAUGUGACGUCGUAUAAAUAUGUACAUAUGUACAUAUAUCAAAGUACAUAUGUAUGUAGCUGUUUCGUAACAAUAAGGUCCGAAAACAUAUAUACUUUUGGCUGAUAAUGGUUUAAAGUGAUGGCGGAUUCAAAAACUAAACUAGCAAUUUUGGACUAUGCCAUUAACUCGGGAGUGUGACGUAACUCUACAGACGCAGGAACCAGAACAGGCACUUGCCACCCGGGCACGUCAGUAAGCAUCGUCUGGAAACCAAGGUCGCUUUGGAAACUCUCGUCCCAUAAAUGCCGUUAUUGGAGCCCAAUCCCUACCAAUUCCAUACAAUGAGCUUCUUCGGCUGCAAUCAGAGGCCCGCGUUACUUUGGCCCAGUUAAGGUCUGAAUACAGCAGUACUGGAGACUCCCCGCAAGUCGUACACGAGAGCGGCCAAAAAUAGAAAAAGUUAAGUUAGCAAAUUCGGAAAACUUUUAAUGCCAAUCGACAGUAAAUCCUCGAGUAUAAAAAACCGAAAUAUUACCGAAAAAUUUGAAUUAAUGCUACUUUCGUUUUCCAAAGUUGAGAGUUUAUAAAAUAAAAUAAAGUAAUAAGAAGAGUGCAACUUCACAACAAGCUUUUCAGGCGUGCCGCGAUUUUCAGGCUUUCAGCUACCCAAUUCAGCUAUUGACGAAAACCUGAAAAGCGCCGAGCGCCCGAAAAGCUUGUUGUGGUGUGGUACUCUUAACAGCUUUUAUAUGCUGUUUCCAAAACGUUGUAACUUUUUUUUAUUUAU
This 1092-nucleotide long non-coding RNA is filed under the name Rhagoletis pomonella (apple maggot). RNAcentral describes it as "uncharacterized LOC118741468, transcript variant X3". The record is from RNAcentral. Lineage: Eukaryota; Metazoa; Arthropoda; Insecta; Diptera; Tephritidae.